AUUGAACGCUGGCGGCAUGCCUUACACAUGCAAGUCGAACGGCAGCACGGGUGCUUGCACCUGGUGGCGAGUGGCGAACGGGUGAGUAAUACAUCGGAACGUACCUUAUCGUGGGGGAUAACGCAGCGAAAGCUGUGCUAAUACCGCAUACGCCCUGAGGGGGAAAGCGGGGGAUCGCAAGACCUCGCGCGAUUAGAGCGGCCGAUGCCUGAUUAGCUAGUUGGUGGGGUCAAAGCCCACCAAGGCGACGAUCAGUAGCUGGUCUGAGAGGACAAUCAGCAACACUGGGAAUGGGACACGGCCCAGACUCCUACGGGAGGCAGGAGUGGGGAAUGUUGGACAAUGUGGGCAACCCUGAUCCAGCAAUGCCGCGUGAGUGAAGAAGGCCUUCGGGUUGUAAAGCUCUUUUGUCAGGGAAGAGACACCGGCUCUAACACAGUCCGGGAAUGACGGUACCUGAAGAAUAAGCACCGGCUAACUACGUGCCAGCCGCCGCGGUAA
RNAcentral lists this ribosomal RNA (501 nucleotides) under uncultured bacterium. RNAcentral's name for it is "partial 16S ribosomal RNA". It matches the Rfam family "Bacterial small subunit ribosomal RNA", at positions 29 to 523 of the family's 1533-position model. The record is from RNAcentral.